AGAAUUUAGGACGAACUUUAUAUCUCAAAGCUAAUUGCCAAAGAUAGAUUAAACAACGUAACCAACCAAAGAUAGAUUAAACAUGCACUAACAGCAAAGACAAUGAUGAGACAUGCAUGUGACAUUGGUUUAGGAGCGGGGAGUAUUUGUAUGACACGAACUUAGCUAGCAUAUCUUUCGAAUGAUGACAUGGACACCAUGUUCGGGCUCUACGAUCAUUCUGUAAGCGGGCGAAUGCCUGUAUUUGGUAGAUAGGGAGAGACUGAACUUGGAAACAAUAAGGGACAGGACAACCUUCAAUUGAGCCAUAGCAAAGUUCCUGCCCAAGCACAAGCGAGGACCAACUCCGAAUGGAAUGUAGGCUUGAGGAAGCUUACAAGCUUUAGAGACACCCCCAGCGAACCUCUCGGGCUUGAACUCGCUGGCAUCUGGUCCCCAAAUUUCAGGAUCUCGAUGCAAUGUUGGUAUCAGAGUCCAUAAGCACACACCUUUGGGAACAAUAAUAUUUCCAACUUGAGUAUCUUCAAGUGCUUCCCUUGAUACGAAUGCUGCUGGUGGGUACAGCCGUAGGGCCUCUUGAAUCACCAUGGUCACCGUUUUUAAGUGGAGUGAAUCAGCAGCAGGGAGGCCAUCCCUGCAUACUUGAGCCAGUUCUAUCCUGAUAGGAUCUUGCCAUUCUGGAUGUAAAGCAAGUAGCAUCAAGCACCAGGAGGCCGCAACAGCAGUCGAUUCAUGGCCAGCGAAGUAUAUAUUCUUGCAGUUAUCGACUAUGAAGCGCUUGGAUGAAUCCUUUCCAAGACCUUGAUCAUUAAUGGCCCCUUCCAGUAUCAACUGCAUUAAAUCUUUUUGUGAUGAUGUCCCUUGACAUUCUCGUUCACGUUCCUUCACUGCGCCCCAAAUCAAUGACUCGACCUCUCUCUCCAAACUGACUAUCUCGUUUAGCUUCUUUACCGGAAAAAAUCUGCACAUUACAAAAAUCUGCAUAUAAAGGAGUACUCGUAAUAAACUACCGAAAAUUAGUGCAUGUAAAUGCCAUCCAAUAACUAAGACGAUGAAAUUACAAAGUUCAAUAAUCGUAGGUUAUGCGAGCCAGUGCAUUGGUCUGACUGGUACCAGAUUAUCAGCCAAGUGGCCAGCAAUUAAAAAAUAGUUGGAGUUGACGAUAUUAAUAGGUAAAAAUCUACGUGUACAAGUAAAGAAAAUUUACGUGUACGAGUAAAGAAAUUAGUCAUACCUAAACAUAGUCUAAGUAACUAAGUAUGGGCUAUAUUAACAGAAGUUUCCCCAUUUAAAAAAAAAAAAGAGGUUACUGCUGGAAAAAAAAAUAGAGCAGAGAAAAUUUGAGAGGGCUGAAAAAAGAGUUUAAGAGCUAAGAAAAAGAGGCUUUGAAUUUGUAUAUGUAAAUCCCCUGUUUUAGUAAUGAAUUUAUAUUUUUUUUACUUCUACUUGUACUAGCAUAAAUCUCUCUUAAAUUCCUUAAUUUUUUCUUCCGUCAAACCCAACAAAAACAUACCCGAAACUAUAGCCACCAACUCCAAAAAGAAUGCUUUGUUUGGAAAUGGCUUUUUGCAGACUUCUAAGCAGAGAGAAGAUCUGUUUGCCUUUAGUAUAGGAAAUCCCAAAAAAAGCCCUUGAGAUGACAUCUGCUGAGACACUUCUCAAAUCCUCAUCUACUAGAACAUCUGCUGCCACGCCACCUUGUGCUUCAAUGUACUCCGUCCAUUUCCUCAGCAAUGGUUGUGCCGACUCCACCAUUAGGCCCACCAUCCCCUGCCAGUUAACUCGUGGUCCCAAGACUUAAUUAGACAAAAUAAUUCUUGCUUUUUAAAGGACCCUCUUACGCGAUACACAGGCUGGCUAUUGUCUAUUGAUAUUUAGUUUGAUUAGUUUCUUACCUUGACCUUGUCUAUGUAGAACUCGGGCGCGACAAUUUUCCUCUGUUGAGCCCAGAGAAGGCCAUUUGACCUUAAAAUGCCAUUACCGAGCAUGGGUGCAAGCCGCUUUGUUACAUAACAAGGUUUUCCUAAAUCCAAAGUCAUGCUUUGAUUCAUUUCCUUCACUAGCUCAGGCUGGUUCACGUACAAGUGUUGCUUCAUUCCCGUUGAAUACGUGUACAAUGGACCGUAUUCUUUUCUCCACUUCUCGAAGUAUGGGAAGAGAGUGGAAGUGUAGUCAUGGGCUAUUAAAUCACGAUGAGUGCUGGACGCUUUGCCGUUGAUGAUCUUGGAUUGGAUUUUCUGCAUCUCGGGUAGAUUCCCAUAUAAAAACGAAGGUGGUGGUCCUUUGAUGCCUUGCAUUCGAAGCUUCCUUCUGAUCCUAUCCGAAUUUAGUAUCAUAGUGAUAUAUAGAUGAAGCAACAAGAAAACCAGAGCAAGAAGAGCUAGGGAAGAAACCAUUGUCGAAAGAGAAGGGACCUCCAUUUCUUCGACUUGUAGCGCUGAAGAAACCAACUUCGGCUAUGUAUUGCUGGACCUAAAAGAUGAAUACAAAUAUAUAGUGGUGUGAAAGCUAUGCUGGCUCCUUAUUAUAUAUAAACUAUAUCGCGUGUAGAGAGAGA
This 2557-nucleotide unclassified non-coding RNA is filed under the name Hevea brasiliensis (rubber tree). The record is from RNAcentral. Lineage: Eukaryota; Viridiplantae; Streptophyta; Magnoliopsida; Malpighiales; Euphorbiaceae.